Molecule: ribosomal RNA, 497 nt
Filed under: uncultured bacterium
Lineage: Bacteria
Description: partial 16S ribosomal RNA
Rfam family: Bacterial small subunit ribosomal RNA
Source: RNAcentral
GAUGAACGCUGGCGGCGUGCCUAAUACAUGCAAGUCGAGCGAACGGAUGAGAAGCUUGCUCCUCUGAUGUUAGCGGCGGACGGGUGAGUAACACGUGGAUAACCUACCUAUAAGACUGGGAUAACUUCGGGAAACCGGAGCUAAUACCGGAUAAUAUUUUGAACCGCAUGGUUCAAUAGUGAAAGACGGUCUUGCUGUCACUUAUAGAUGGAUCCGCGCUGCAUUAGCUAGUUGGUAAGGUAACGGCUUACCAAGGCAACGAUGCAUAGCCGACCUGAGAGGGUGAUCGGCCACACUGGAACUGAGACACGGUCCAGACUCCUACGGGAGGCAGCAGUAGGGAAUCUUCCGCAAUGGGCGAAAGCCUGACGGAGCAACGCCGCGUGAGUGAUGAAGGUCUUCGGAUCGUAAAACUCUGUUAUUAGGGAAGAACAAAUGUGUAAGUAACUAUGCACGUCUUGACGGUACCUAAUCAGAAAGCCACGGCUAACUACGUG